This is a long non-coding RNA of Leopardus geoffroyi (Geoffroy's cat), 252 nucleotides long. RefSeq lists it as uncharacterized. The record is from RefSeq and is a predicted model, not a curated record. Lineage: Eukaryota; Metazoa; Chordata; Mammalia; Carnivora; Felidae. The transcript is spliced from 2 exons.
UGCCAAACAGGAACCUGCGAGAUGUCGCAAGAGGCUCAUUCUCCUUAUUUCCCUGUCUGUGAUGUCAUCUACAGAAUACACUUUGUGCAACUCACGACAAUGUGAAAAAUCCACCUGGCGACACAGAAGAGUAACAUACCUCAUCUAUCGUGGAAGGAGGUUUACUUGAUGGGAAGAACACAUAACGGACACAUCGCAGGAAUAGUUUCAGAACGUAAGUGACGACCGGGAUGGACAAUAAGGCAGCACAAA